UGGGGAAUUUUGGACAAUGGGCGCAAGCCUGAUCCAGCCAUGCCGCGUGCGGGAAGAAGGCCUUCGGGUUGUAAACCGCUUUUGUCAGGGAAGAAAUCUUCUGAGUUAAUACCUCGGGAGGAUGACGGUACCUGAAGAAUAAGCACCGGCUAACUACGUGCCAGCAGCCGCGGUAAUACGUAGGGUGCAAGCGUUAAUCGGAAUUACUGGGCGUAAAGCGUGCGCAGGCGGUUUUGUAAGACAGAGGUGAAAUCCCCGGGCUCAACCUGGGAACUGCCUUUGUGACUGCAAGGCUUGAGUGCGGCAGAGGGGGAUGGAAUUCCGCGUGUAGCAGUGAAAUGCGUAGAUAUGCGGAGGAACACCGAUGGCGAAGGCAAUCCCCUGGGCCUGCACUGACGCUCAUGCACGAAAGCGUGGGGAGCAAACAGGAUUAGAUAGCCCUGGUAGUCCACGCCCUAAAACGAUGUCAACUGGUUGUUGGGAAGGUUCCUUCUCAGUAACGUAGCUAACGCGUGAAGUUGACCCCUGGGGAGUACGGCCGCAAGGUUG
RNAcentral lists this ribosomal RNA (549 nucleotides) under uncultured bacterium. RNAcentral describes it as "partial 16S ribosomal RNA". It matches the Rfam family "Bacterial small subunit ribosomal RNA", at positions 355 to 896 of the family's 1533-position model. The record is from RNAcentral.